RNAcentral lists this ribosomal RNA (458 nucleotides) under uncultured bacterium. RNAcentral's name for it is "partial 16S ribosomal RNA". It matches the Rfam family "Bacterial small subunit ribosomal RNA", at positions 338 to 795 of the family's 1533-position model. The record is from RNAcentral.
CCUACGGGAGACUGCAGUGAGGAAUAUUGGUCAAUGGGCGAGAGCCUGAACCAGCCAAGUCGCGUGAGGGAGUACUGCCCUAUGGGUUGUAAACCUCUUUUGUCGGGGAGCAAAAGCCGGACGUGUCCGGCUGUGAGAGUACCCGAAGAAAAAGCAUCGGCUAACUCCGUGCCAGCAGCCGCGGUAAUACGGAGGAUGCGAGCGUUAUCCGGAUUUAUUGGGUUUAAAGGGUGCGCAGGCGGAUUUUUAAGUCAGCGGUAAAAUCGUGGGGCUCAACCCCAUCCAGCCGUUGAAACUGGGGAUCUAGAGUGUGCGAGAGGUAUGCGGAAUGCGUGGUGUAGCGGUGAAAUGCAUAGAUAUCACGCAGAACCCCGAUUGCGAAGGCAGCAUACCGGUGCACAACUGACGCUCAGGCACGAAAGCGUGGGUAUCGAACAGGAUUAGAUACCCUAGUAGUC